CAGAGUAGAAACAGCGCGUUAAGUGCCGGCGGAUGGGAAGUGGCCGCCGGACGAAGCUAUUAGGGCGCGGUGCUGUUUCGCAUCCGCUGU
RNAcentral lists this non-coding RNA (90 nucleotides) under chicken gut metagenome. RNAcentral's name for it is "THF riboswitch". It matches the Rfam family "THF (Tetrahydrofolate) riboswitch aptamer". Rfam says of the family: THF riboswitch presents a pseudoknot that joins P1-P2 and the loop of P3 and two THF binding. The record is from RNAcentral.